RNAcentral lists this ribosomal RNA (499 nucleotides) under uncultured bacterium. Its description in RNAcentral is "bacterial SSU rRNA". It matches the Rfam family "Bacterial small subunit ribosomal RNA", at positions 355 to 870 of the family's 1533-position model. The record is from RNAcentral.
UGGGGAAUCUUGGACAAUGGGGGCAACCCUGAUCCAGCCAUGCCGCGUGAGUGAUGAAGGCCUUAGGGUCGUAAAGCUCUUUCGCCUGUGAAGAUAAUGACGGUAGCCGGAGAAGAAGCCCCGGCUAACUCCGUGCCAGCAGCCGCGGUAAUACGGAGGGGGUUAGCGUUGUUCGGAAUUACUGGGCGUAAAGCGCACGUAGGCGGACCAGAAAGUUGGGGGUGAAAUCCCGGGGGCUCAACCCCGGAACUGCCUCCAAAACUAUUGGUCUAGAGUUCGAGAGAGGUGAGUGGAAUUCCAAGUGUAGAGGUGAAAUUCGUAGAUAUUUGGAGGAACACCAGUGGCGAAGGCGGCUCACUGGCUCGAUACUGACGCUGAGGUGCGAAAGUGUGGGGAGCAAACAGGAUUAGAUACCCUGGUAGUCCACACCGUAAAACGAUGAAUGCCAGUCGUCGGGUAGCAUGCUAUUCGGUGACACACCUAACGGAUUAAGCAUUCC